UGAUGUGGUGAAACCAACUUUAGAGGGAACCUAAUUUAAAAUUUUAAAAUUAAAUCUUGUUUCUAAAGAAAUAAUAGUUAAACUAGUGAUGUUCAUGAUGGACCAGACCAUAUCUCAUAUAGCACCAUUACACCUCAUAGAUACCCCGUUGAGCUGAGGUGUAUAAUAAAAAUUCUAUCAUAAAAUUAUAUCAUUCUCUUUAGAUAGCCAAUAAAUUUUCUAUUUAGUAUUGC
This 233-nucleotide long non-coding RNA is filed under the name Elaeis guineensis (African oil palm). RNAcentral describes it as "long non-coding RNA (EGUI_LNC078073)". Lineage: Eukaryota; Viridiplantae; Streptophyta; Magnoliopsida; Arecales; Arecaceae. The record is from RNAcentral.